Molecule: long non-coding RNA, 927 nt
Filed under: Homo sapiens (human)
Lineage: Eukaryota; Metazoa; Chordata; Mammalia; Primates; Hominidae
Description: PCBP1 antisense RNA 1
Source: RNAcentral
AAGGAAGGAAGCAAAAGGCCUGAAGGAUAAGAUGAGACAAGGCUGAAGCAGGAUCAUUAAAUCAUAAACCUGGAGCACCUGGAUAGUGAGUAGAGUGAAAACAAGCUCAGGGCUCCCACUGAUUGUACAUUAUGGUGAGACGUGGUCUUGUAACACAGUGGUUAAGAAUGUGACUUUGGAGCCAGCCUGCUAGGGGCUGAAUUCUGACUCAGCCAUUUACUAACUGUGUGACCUUAGGGAGGAGGACCUGGUUGAUAGAAGAAUUUAUCUCGUAGUCUUAACAUCCACUGUAAUUCCAAACUUUGAGGACGAUAGAGAUCAGUGGGCUUUGACUGCCCAGCAUGCAGUCUCCAUUCUUAGGUGGAGUCUCACUCUGUAGCCCAAGCUGGAGUGGCGUGAUCUCGACUCACUGCAACCUCCGCCUCCUGGGAUCAAGUGAUUCUCGUGCCUCAGCCUCCUGAGUAGCCGGGACUACAGGUCACAGAAUUUUCCACACUCCUUGACAGAGGUGCUUAACCCUUAUCCAUCAGCAUUCUCAGACAGCACCUCCGGUUAGGGACAGUAUCUGACCGUCCGACAUCCCUGCAGCCCCCAUGUGUCACACAGACUCAGCCUCAGGUAGAUGGUUUCCGUAGAUGGUGGCUUUCUUUGGACCCUUGACAUCAACCAGUUACUAUUUGGGGACCAGAUGUGCAGAGGUAAUGAAUACCAGGGAAUCAGGAAACCACUGGAUCAGUUCUUUGAGCCACAGAACAACACUCAUCCCAGCAGCUGGGAAGCUAUCUGCAAAAGUCCAUCUGCAGAAAGGGCUUCCUGGUCUUGCGUGUGGCUGGGCCAUUUCUCUGGAUGCAGGUUUUUCAUUAUACAGUCUUCUCAAAGAACCACCUGCUCUCAACACCUUCUCGGUGACUCCAUUUCCCCUCCUCU